AGUCGAGGGUUUGAUUUAUCAAGCACUGGCAUCCGGGUGAGUAACGCGUAGGUCAUCUGCCCCUAUCACAGACAUAACAGUUCUAACGGACUGCUAAUAUCUGAUGAGGCGGGCAAUCGUCAAAGCUUUGGCGGAUAGGGAUGAGCCUGCGUCUGAUUAGGUAGUUGGUGAGGUAAUGGCUCACCAAGCCUUCGAUCAGUAGCUGGUCUGAGAGGACGAACAGCCACACUGGAACUGAGACACGGUCCAGACUCCUACGGGAGGCAGCAGUGAGGAAUAUUGGUCAAUGGGCGCAAGCCUGAACCAGCGACGCCGCGUGGGGGAUGAAGGGGCUUUGCCUCGUAAACCUCUGUCGGAUGGGACGAAAGGUGGCUUUGAGCCACUGGGACGGUACCAUCAAAGGAAGGAUCGGCUAACUACGUGCCAGCAGCCGCGGUAAUACGUAGGAUCCGAGCGUUGUCCGGAGUUACUGGGUGUAAAGGGUGCGUAGGCUGUUCUGUGCGUCAGAGGUGAAAUCCACGGGCUUAACUCGUGGGGUGCCUUUGAUACGGCAGGGCUUGAGUACGAGAGAGGUGCGUGGAAUUCCUGGUGUAGCAGUGAAAUGCGUAGAUAUCAGGAGGAACACCGGUGGCGAAGGCGGCGCACUGGCUCGUAACUGACGCUGAGGCACGAAAGCGUGGGGAUCAAACAGGAUUAGAUACCCUGGUAGUCCACGCCUUAAACGAUGCAUGCUUGGUGUUGGUCUCGCAAGAGAUCAGUGCCGUAGUUAACAUGAUAAGCAUGCCACCUGGGGAGUACGAUCGCAAGGUUGAAACUCAAAGGAAUUGACGGGGGCCCGCACAAGCGGUGGAUCAUGUGGUUUAAUUCGAUGCAACGCGAAGAACCUUACCCAGGCUUGAAGUCUACGUAGUAAAGAGAUGAAAGUCGAAUGACCCGCA
Molecule: ribosomal RNA, 938 nt
Filed under: uncultured bacterium
Lineage: Bacteria
Description: bacterial SSU rRNA
Rfam family: Bacterial small subunit ribosomal RNA
Source: RNAcentral